AACUCUCAGCGGUGGAUCACUUGGCUCGUGCAUCGAUGAAGAACUAAUGUGAAUCGCAGGACACAUUGAUCAUCAACACUUCGAACACACUUGAGGGUAAUGGCACUGUCUCUUGCACUUCAAAUUAAUGCUU
This 133-nucleotide ribosomal RNA is filed under the name Sinocyclocheilus grahami. RNAcentral's name for it is "5.8S ribosomal RNA (ENSSGRG00000014204.1)". It matches the Rfam family "5.8S ribosomal RNA". Rfam says of the family: 5.8S ribosomal RNA (5.8S rRNA) is a component of the large subunit of the eukaryotic ribosome. The record is from Rfam by way of RNAcentral. Lineage: Eukaryota; Metazoa; Chordata; Actinopteri; Cypriniformes; Cyprinidae.